CGCCAGGAACUAUGCGGGGAAUCGCCGCCCAACCCCGUCAGGUCCGGAAGGAAGCAGCGGCAAGCGGUUGGUUCCCGCGCCGUAGCCCUCCUGGCGGCG
This 99-nucleotide signal recognition particle RNA is filed under the name Treponema sp. RNAcentral describes it as "signal recognition particle sRNA small type". It matches the Rfam family "Bacterial small signal recognition particle RNA". Rfam says of the family: The signal recognition particle (SRP) is a universally conserved ribonucleoprotein involved in the co-translational targeting of proteins to membranes. Lineage: Bacteria; Pseudomonadati; Spirochaetota; Spirochaetia; Treponematales; Treponemataceae. The record is from RNAcentral.